This 598-nucleotide ribosomal RNA is filed under the name uncultured bacterium. Its description in RNAcentral is "bacterial SSU rRNA". It matches the Rfam family "Bacterial small subunit ribosomal RNA", at positions 25 to 664 of the family's 1533-position model. The record is from RNAcentral.
CAGGAUGAACGCUGGCGGUCUGCUUAACACAUGCAAGUCGAACGAAUCCCUUCGGGGAUUAGUGGCGGACGGGUGAGUAGCGCGUGAGAAUCUGCCUUCAGGUUCGGGACAACCACUGGAAACGGUGGCUAAUACCGAAUGUGCCGCAACGUGAAAGAUUUAUCGCCUGAAGAUGAGCUCGCGUCCGAUUAGCUAGUUGGUGAGGUAAAAGCUCACCAAGGCGACGAUCGGUAGCUGGUCUGAGAGGAUGACCAGCCACACUGGGACUGAGACACGGCCCAGACUCCUACGGGAGGCAGCAGUGGGGAAUUUUCCGCAAUGGGCGCAAGCCUGACGGAGCAAGACCGCGUGAGGGAGGAAGGCCCAAGCGGUUGUAAACCUCUUUUCUCAGGGAAGAAGAAAGUGACGGUACCUGAGGAAUCAGCCUCGGCUAACUCCGUGCCAGCAGCCGCGGUAAUACGGAGGAGGCAAGCGUUAUCCGGAAUUAUUGGGCGUAAAGCGUCCGUAGGUGGUUAUGUAAGUCUGCUGUCAAAGCACAGGGCUUAACCCUGUAAAGGCAGUGGAAACUACAAGACUCGAGUGCGGUAGGGGCAGAGGG